Molecule: ribosomal RNA, 253 nt
Filed under: uncultured bacterium
Lineage: Bacteria
Description: partial 16S ribosomal RNA
Rfam family: Bacterial small subunit ribosomal RNA
Source: RNAcentral
UACGAAGGGGGCGAGCGUUGUUCGGAAUUACUGGGCGUAAAGGGAGCGUAGGUGGCCUUGUAAGUCAGUGGUGAAAUCCUGUCGCUUAACGAUAGAAUUGCCAUUGAUACUGCAGGGCUUGAGUACAGUUGCCGUUGGCGGAAUAUGACAUGUAGUGGUGAAAUACAUAGAUAUGUCAUAGAACACCGAUUGCGAAGGCAGCUGACGAAACUGUAACUGACACUGAGGCUCGAAAGUGUGGGGAUCAAACAGG